RNAcentral lists this ribosomal RNA (1187 nucleotides) under Amaga expatria. RNAcentral describes it as "SSU rRNA". It matches the Rfam family "Eukaryotic small subunit ribosomal RNA", at positions 1 to 1192 of the family's 1831-position model. Lineage: Eukaryota; Metazoa; Platyhelminthes; Tricladida; Geoplanidae. The record is from RNAcentral.
UAUCUGGUUGAUCCUGCCAGUAGUCAUAUGCUUAUCUCAAAGAUUAAGCCAUGCAUGUCUAAGUACACAGACUCGUACUCUAAAACCGCGGAUGGCUCAUUAUAACAGCUAUGAUUUGAGAGAUUUAAUCUUUUUGCCAUAAGAUAACUGUGGUAAUUCUAGAGCUAAUAUUUCGAAGAAUGCCGUGACUCACGAAGCGGCGGAUUUAUUAGAUCAAAAUCAACCUGUCGAAAGGCGGUUCUUUGAUGAAUCUGGAUAACUUUACUGAUCGUACGACCUUUGUGUUGACGACAUAUCUCUUGAAAUGGCUGACCUAUCAACUUUCGAUGGUAAGAUCAAAGCUUACCAUGGUUGUAACGGGUAACGGGGAAUCAGUGUUCGAUUCCGGAGAGGGAGCCUGAGAAACGGCUACCACAUCUACGGAAGGCAGCAGGCGCGUAAAUUACCCAAUACCGGCUCGGUGAGGUAGUGACAAAAAAUAACAAUAUGGGCCCUAGUGGUUUCAUAAUUGCAAUGAGAACAUUUUAAAUACUUUAUCAAGUAUCAAUUGGAGGGCAAGUCUGGUGCCAGCAGCCGCGGUAAUUCCAGCUCCAAUAGCGUAUAUUAAAGUUGUUGCAGUUAAAAAGCUCGUAGUUGAAAUUGGGGAAACGAUCACGAUUUCGUGUCCGUAAGGAUCGAGUUCGGAUUGUCCUUCUGAGUCGUGUAUACCAGCGGUGCUCUUUAAUGGGUGUCGUUGGUAACCGACAAGUUUACUUUGAAAAAAUUAGAGUGCUUAAAGCAGGCUUAUGCUUGUAUAUUGUUGCAUGGAAUAAUGAAAUAGGACUUCGGUUUUAUUUUGUUGGUUUUCGAAACUGAAGUAAUGAUUAAAAGAGACUGCCGGGGGCAUAUGUAUGCUGGUGUGAGAGGUGAAAUUCAUUGAUCGUCAGCAGACAAACAACUGCGAAAGCAUUUGCCAAGAAUGUUUUCAUUAAUCAAGAACGAAAGUCAGAGGAUCGAAGACGAUCAGAUACCGUCCUAGUUCUGACCAUAAACUAUGCCAACUGACAGUUAGUGAUGGUAGAUUUAAUGUCCUCACUAGAAGUCACCGGGAAACCUAAGUCUAUGGGUUCCGGGGGAAGUAUGGUUGCAAAGCUGAAACUUAAAGGAAUUGACGGAAGGGCACCACCAGGAGUGGAGCCUGCGGCUUA